CCGCCAGAGAACUACUAGUGAAAAACUUAAAACUCAAAGGACUUGGCGGUGUCCCAUUUCGGCCUAGAGGAGCCUGUCCUAUAAUCGACACUCCCCGUUCCACCCGACCUCCACUUGCACAUUCAGCCUAUAUACCGCCGUCAACAGUCUACCCCAUGAGGGUCUCUCAGUAGACACAAUAGCAACAACUCGCUAGCACGUCAGGUCAAGGUGUAGCAAAUGUUGAGGCAGAGAUUGGCUACAUUUUUUAUAUCAAAACAAACGAAAUGCAACAUGAAACAUUGCACGAAGGUGAAUUUAGUAGUAAAAU
RNAcentral lists this ribosomal RNA (310 nucleotides) under Acanthodactylus boskianus (Bosk's fringe-fingered lizard). Its description in RNAcentral is "partial 12S ribosomal RNA". It matches the Rfam family "Bacterial small subunit ribosomal RNA", at positions 869 to 1344 of the family's 1533-position model. Lineage: Eukaryota; Metazoa; Chordata; Lepidosauria; Squamata; Lacertidae. The record is from RNAcentral.